This 465-nucleotide ribosomal RNA is filed under the name uncultured bacterium. Its description in RNAcentral is "bacterial SSU rRNA". It matches the Rfam family "Bacterial small subunit ribosomal RNA", at positions 198 to 644 of the family's 1533-position model. The record is from RNAcentral.
GGAGAAAAGCAGGGGAUCGUAAGACCUUGCACUUUUGGAGCGGCCGAUGUCUGAUUAGCUAGUUGGUGGGGUAAUGGCCUACCAAAGCUUCGAUCAGUAGCUGGUCUGAGAGGACGGCCAGCCACACUGGGACUGAGACACGGCCCAGACUCCUACGGGAGGCAGCAGUGGGGAAUUUUGGACAAUGGGCGCAAGCCUGAUCCAGCCAUGCCGCGUGAGUGAAGAAGGCCUUCGGGUUGUAAAGCUCUUUCAGCCGGGAAGAAAAGGUUGCGAUUAAUAAUCGCAAUUUAUGACGGUACCGGAAGAAGAAGCACCGGCUAACUACGUGCCAGCAGCCGCGGUAAUACGUAGGGUGCGAGCGUUAAUCGGAAUUACUGGGCGUAAAGGGUGCGCAGGCGGUUUUGUAAGUCAGAUGUGAAAUCCCCGGGCUUAACCUGGGAACUGCGUUUGAAACUACAAGGCUAG